This is a long non-coding RNA of Papaver somniferum (opium poppy), 897 nucleotides long. RefSeq lists it as uncharacterized. The transcript is spliced from 5 exons. NCBI's taxonomy places the organism in Eukaryota, Viridiplantae, Streptophyta, Magnoliopsida, Ranunculales, Papaveraceae. The record is from RefSeq and is a predicted model, not a curated record.
GAAGGUGCAGCAAUGCAGUGUAUUGUGUCGGGGGUUUCAGCUCAUUUUGCUGAAGACUCUUGUUACAGGUUUUGUAAAGAUCCAUGGGCAACCUGUAGGAAUUAUAUUGUAAACAAUGGCAUAUUAUUACUGAAUCGGCUCUGAAAGGUGCCCACUCAUCAAACUGUGUGCUCAACGCAGCAUUCCUUUGAUCUUUCUACAGAAUAUUACUGGAUUUAUGGUUGGUUCAAGAUCUAAAGCUAAUGGUUUUUGCUAAAGCUGGAGCAAAGAUGGCCAUGGCAGUUUCCUGUGCAAAGGUUCCUAAAAUUACAGUGGUUUGAUGGAAGCUUUGGCGCUGGGAAUGAUGGAAUGAGUGGCCGUGCUUUUAGUCUGAAUUUCUUGUUCCGUUGGCCUACUGCAAAAGUAUCUGUGAUUGGUGGCCCUUAGGUAAUCUGUUUAGCCUAUUUCUAAAAAGCCACAAGUCAAUCAUUGACUAACUGCUCGAGUUAGCAAGUUAAAUAAAAAUCUGGUAUCUGUAUCUACAGCGCCAGUUAACUUGAGCACAUAUUUGUCUGCUUUAUUAAUUUUUGAAGGCUGCUGGUGUACUGCCAAAAAUUGAGAAGAGCAACAAGAAAAAGCAAGGAGGGGAGUGGAGCACUGAAGAAGAGAAGUUCAAAAUGGAGUUAUUAUGGAAGCAGGUGAAACAGAAUGAAGCCCAUAUUACUAUAAGAAAGGUUCUAGGCCUCUGCCUGUCUGUUUCUAUGAAGAACGUUCCUGAGUAAACCAAGUAUCUUUAGAAUGUAAAAACAACUGUUACUUUGAAAGCUGGAUUCCUGCAACAGUGCCUGUCAAAUUACAAGUACAUAGGCAAUUUGUGUAGCCGGAGUAAAUAUGUUUAUGAAAUCUUUUUAAACUGUG